RNAcentral lists this transfer RNA (68 nucleotides) under Camelus bactrianus (Bactrian camel). It matches the Rfam family "tRNA". Rfam says of the family: Transfer RNA (tRNA) molecules are approximately 80 nucleotides in length. Lineage: Eukaryota; Metazoa; Chordata; Mammalia; Artiodactyla; Camelidae. The record is from Rfam by way of RNAcentral. RNAcentral also lists the same sequence under 1 other name.
GGAUAGUUCUGUGGAAGAGCACGUGCUUGGCAUGUAUGAGGUCCUGGGUUCAAUCCCCAGUACAGCCA